Rattus norvegicus (Norway rat) is the source of this 2227-nucleotide non-coding RNA. Lineage: Eukaryota; Metazoa; Chordata; Mammalia; Rodentia; Muridae. The record is from RefSeq and is a predicted model, not a curated record.
UCUGGCUUCAGUUUCUGGAGGAAAAGACCGGGUUAACUUGGGAACCCCGGAGGAAGACCGGGAUGGAGAACAGGCUCUCCUAGGUUUCCAACCCCUGUGGGAGGGGCGUGGUGUGAAUAUGACCUGCUUCUCCCUGAGCAGCUCCGUUCCCCUCCAGCACGUCCUCAGUUUUUCUUCUGACUCUUCUCUUAGCUACUUGUCCUCGCUUCCCACCAAUGCCUCGAGUCCAUCUUCACAUAGAGGAUUCUACAUCCCGAUAUAUGGAGCUUCAAAGAGAGCACCAACAUAUAGUUGAAGCUUCUUGAAGUGGAUGGUUAUUAAUACAGAGACAACUGGUCAACGUGAAGCAAAUUAAAAAGUGUUCAACUCUAAAUGAGACAUCUGUAUCACACCUCUACUUCCAAGACUCAGGACCCACAUUGGAGAGGGGACAAAAAGACUCUAAUGGCUGGAAGGAGUCGAUGUCUGCAGCAAAAACGGUAUUUGCUGGUCAUGGCAGUGCCAUUACAUACAUGAACUCAAGUUUGAAUGUAUGAGACUGCCACAAGACCAAGCAUAGACAUGGCAGGAAUUAUUGAAAUUCUACCCUUAUCUGGGGAGCACUUGGUAGCUGUUGGUUGCUGGAGGAGGGGGGAGUUGUUUUUCUUCAGGGAUGCUCUCCCUGAGCAGCUACCCAUUCUCCAAUAGAUGACCCAUACCCAUUCAUAUGUACACAAUACAAAGUGGUCUCAGUGGGCUUAAAAUUAAGGACGUAUGAAGGUGGGAUGAAAAAUGGUUGUGGGAAUGGGGGUGACAUUGGGAACACUUUGUGAUCAUGUAUGAAAUUUCCGAACAAUGUUAAACAAAAAGAUUAUACACGAUAUGAAGGGGGAAAUGAGAAAAAUGGGAUAUGGGAUUUCUUUGGGGAUGGUGGAGGGGGAACAAUACUGAAGGACAGGGUUAGAAGAAGGAUAAGUGAUAAUAAGGAUGUUUGAUAUAGCCACUGGGAAUCAUUAUGCUAAAUUUACAUAUAAUACACAUAAAUGUAUGUGCAUACAUAUGUUUUUUAAAUGAAGUUAUGCUCUUUAGGAUAAUAAUGCUUUUCCCCAAAGUCAUAGACUAUUUAAUAAAAAUUCCAGUACCAGGAAUGAGAAGCUUCCUCUGGAGUUGUUGGUCUCCCAAAACAAUUUAAGCUCUUGCUGUUGCCCUUGUUUGCUUCCCAGAAGUUGACAAUAAAUCCCAUUGCAGAAGACAUCACACACUUUGGACACAUAGCUCAGGGGAUUUGAGCUGGAUCUGAUUUGAAAGCCUCCCUGAGGGAUUAACUUUUGUAGUACCAAAGCACUGUACAGGUUUCCAAGGGAGAAAAGCCAUCACUAAUCCUACCUAGCUGUAAUGUCUAUGAACCAAAACAGACCAGCAUGGCACAGUAGCUGUAUAGGUGGAGUAAUGGUACUGAAGUAUUGGCAGUAACUAAACUUAACUAGACUUAACUAAACAGUUACUAGACUUAAGGCUUGUUUAAUGAAAGAGAAAUCAUGCCUCAUACUGUAAACCUAACCAAUUACCUGUGACUAGUGUGGGUAGGCAUGUUAGAAGCAAAUAUAUUGUGGUCACUUUCUUAAGCCUGUAUAAUUUUCAUUUUUGUUCUAAAUGUUUAUCCAUAUACCCACAGAUAAGUGUAGCCUUCAUCUCUCAUCAAAGAAGCUUCUUUGUUUUCCUUCAGUAGAUAGAAAACAUGGCAGAAAUCCAUAAUGCUUUAAAAUGCAGAGAACAACUGACUGUGGGUGGGGUGCUCAGCCCUAACUGAUACAUCAACAGUACAAUCCAUAUAACUAACACAAUCCCUAUUACUAAGGCUAGGAAACAUCCCAGAAGAUGGAGUGUAAAGAUUAUAAGGCCCAGGGUGUGAUGUGGCAAGACAGUACAGAGGUUUCUCCAUCUCAUAUUCUUGCUGAGAUUUUUUCAAGGUUUAACUAAAAUUUGAUUUUCUGUAUGCAAAACCCCAUGGAAAAUUACCAAACUCUAUUCUAGGAACCUAAAUACGAGAUGCCCCUAAUUAACUCUUACCUUCUGUCAAACUGCUUGCUUGCACAAAAUCUCCCCCUGCAGCUGCCAAGUGAGAUACCAGAAUGUGGUUUUUGCCUUUAAGAACUCUUUACUCUAAAUACUGGGCACUGCAUUUGAGUUUUGGGCACCUGAGUGUAAUCCCAGUUGGCAAGAAUAAAGACUUUUAGUUGGCUAUAAA